Lolium perenne is the source of this 1282-nucleotide non-coding RNA. The record is from RefSeq and is a predicted model, not a curated record. Lineage: Eukaryota; Viridiplantae; Streptophyta; Magnoliopsida; Poales; Poaceae.
GAUUCCACGACUCUGUUCGUCUUCCUCGCCAGGUCGCCCCAUAGAUCUCUCCCCCACCACGACUCCGCUCGGUUCCUCUUCGUCCAUGGCCACCGCUUGCAAAGGGAACGGGUAUGCUCUGCCAAUCCCCGCAUUCAACGCAAUAAAUCCGUCCUUGAAGAUAAUAGAAACUGCUCGGAGAAUUUGUGAUCUUGGUGUUCGUAUGCUUUAUUUCCUGCGCCGCCACGACCUACGUCCUCCCGCAAGUCCCGAGCACAAUAACGCCCGUGGCGACCUAAGAGCUCCCAACAUUCAUCGAGCAUUAUUGCCAUGCUAAUGCGCAAGAAACUACUCGGAACUGGUGAUUCGCCGUCUCCAUGUUUAAAAACAAGAGCUCUGUUGCCAUGUUCAUCCAGCACGUCUGCCCCUCUCCAUCUUGCCACUGCCCUCCAGUCUGGUUCUAUUCCGGCUUCGGGAGCUGAUCGGCAUUCUCUCUCCCCUUGAUUUGAUUGGAUUUUCUUUGGAUCUGCAUACUCCUCACACAAAUCAGCCCCGUUUUGAUUGGAUCCAGCGUCCUGUUCGAUCAAGAAAGGAGGAAUAGGUUCUCAUCCGGAUAUUGGACAACACUAGCUGCUUCCGUUGGUCGGCUAGAUAUAUAAAGAACACAACAUGCUUCCUUUUACAUCAAUUAUUGCGUGUGUGCUUUGCAAAGAUGGACAACCCCUGAAAAUUCUUUGAGGCCUCCUGGAAUUGUCUUCCAGUAGUAAGGUAAUGUACACAAUGACCCAAAGUCGGAAACAUCUUCAAUUCUAGAAUGGAAGUUUGAUCUUUAUUCCGGAAAUAGUGUAUCAAUGUGAUGCCUCCUAGAAGUUACUAAGGUAUGUACUAGCUUUGUUUGAUACUAUACAUUAAAGCCUUUAUUUUAUUUUCAAGAAAGAAGCUCCUUUAUUUGGGUCAGAUUUGUUUAAAUGACAAAGCAGAUAUUCGUGAUUCGUGAUUCAUGUAUGCAUAUGUUCAAUGAUACCACUCUGACGGUGAGUAAUCAUGGACAUUGAAAGCACACUAGGAUCUGUUCAUCAGUUUGAAUACAUCAAACAUGGUUAUUUGUAUGGCUACCCACUGGAUUCACGAGUGAUUCUUUCUGGAGACGGUCGCACGGGAUAUCUACAACCUGAUUGGGUGGUGGCUUCAAUGAUAAAUAGACGGCACUUUUUAUUUUUUGGCUGUUUUUAUAUACACUUUUUGUGAUCCAUAAGAUGUAAAAUUUGAAUAUCUGAAAUUUGGCAUUAAAUAAGGUUGUGUG